CCUGGCUCAGGAUGAACGCUGGCGGUAUGCUUUACACAUGCAAGUCGAACGGAAGUUUUUUAAACUUUAGUGGCGGACGGGUGAGUAACACGUGAGAAUUUACCUUUAGGAGGGGAAUAACAAUUAGAAACAAUUGCUAAUGCCGCAUAUUAUUAAAAAAAUAAAAGAAGAAAUUCGCCUAAAGAAAAGCUUGCGUCUGAUUAGCUAGUUGGUGGGGUAAAAGCCUACCAAGGCGACGAUCAGUAGCUGGUUUGAGAGGAUGACCAGUCACACUGGAACUGAGACACGGUCCAGACUCCUGCGGGAGGCAGCAGUGGGGAAUUUUCUGCAAUGGGCGAAAGCCUGACAGAGCGAUACCGCGUGAGGGAAUUAGAAAGCCCAAAGGGUUGUAAACCUCUUUUGUUAAGGAAGAAGUUCUGACGUUACUUAACGAAUAAGCAUCGGCUAACUCCGUGCCAGCAGCCGCGGUAAUACGGAGGAUGCAAGUGUUAUCCGGAAUCACUGGGCGUAAAGCGUCUGUAGGUGGUUUACUAAGUCUAUUAUUAAAUCUUGAAGCUCAACUUC
This 564-nucleotide ribosomal RNA is filed under the name uncultured bacterium. RNAcentral's name for it is "bacterial SSU rRNA". It matches the Rfam family "Bacterial small subunit ribosomal RNA", at positions 18 to 616 of the family's 1533-position model. The record is from RNAcentral.